Molecule: ribosomal RNA, 567 nt
Filed under: uncultured bacterium
Lineage: Bacteria
Description: bacterial SSU rRNA
Rfam family: Bacterial small subunit ribosomal RNA
Source: RNAcentral
CCUACGGGAGGCAGCAGUGGGGAAUAUUGGGCAAUGGAGGAAACUCUGACCCAGCGACGCCGCGUGCGGGAUGAAGGCCUUCGGGUUGUAAACCGCUUUCAGCAGGGAAUAAGCGCAAGUGAAGGUACCUGCAGAAGAAGCACCGGCUAACUAUGUGCCAGCAGCCGCGGUAAUACAUAGGGUGCAAGCGUUGUCCGGAAUUAUUGGGCGUAAAGAGCUCGUAGGUGGUUUGUUACGUCGAUCGUGAAAUUCAGGGGCUCAACCCCUGACUUGCGGUCGAUACGGGCAAGCUAGAGUUUGGUAGGGGAGACUGGAAUUCCUGGUGUAGCGGUGGAAUGCGCAGAUAUCAGGAGGAACACCGAUGGCGAAGGCAGGUCUCUGGGCCAAUACUGACACUGAGGAGCGAAAGCGUGGGGAGCGAACAGGAUUAGAUACCCUGGUAGUCCACGCCGUAAACGGUGGGCGCUAGUUGUGCGAACCUUCCACGGUUUGUGCGACGCAGCUAACGCAUUAAGCGCCCCGCCUGGGGAGUACGAUCGCAAGNUUAAAACUCAAAGGAAUUGACGG